Molecule: transfer RNA, 76 nt
Filed under: Gemmatimonadaceae bacterium
Lineage: Bacteria; Pseudomonadati; Gemmatimonadota; Gemmatimonadia; Gemmatimonadales; Gemmatimonadaceae
Description: tRNA-Val
Source: RNAcentral
GGCUACGGAGCACGGCGGACGUGAAGCUCCCUGACCAGGGAGACGGAAGCGGGUUCGACUCCCGUGGUAGCCACCA